RNAcentral lists this non-coding RNA (948 nucleotides) under Arnoglossus laterna (scaldfish). RNAcentral's name for it is "12S ribosomal RNA". It matches the Rfam family "Bacterial small subunit ribosomal RNA". The record is from RNAcentral. Lineage: Eukaryota; Metazoa; Chordata; Actinopteri; Pleuronectiformes; Bothidae.
UAAAGGUUUGGUCCUGGCCUUACUGUCAACCCUAGUUAAAAUUACACAUGCAAGUAUCAGCGCCCCCGUGAGGAUACCCACAGCCACCCACUAGGUGACAUGGAGUAGGUAUCAGGCACCACCCCCAUCGCCCAAGACACCUUGUUUAGCCACACCCCCAAGGGUACUCAGCAGUGAUAGACCUUAAGCCAUGAGCGAAAGCUUUACUUAGUUAAGACUAAGAGGGCUGGUAAAGCCCGUGCCAGCCACCGCGGUCACACGGACAGCCCAAGUUGACAAAAAACGGCGUAAAGAGUGGUUAGGGAGACAAACUAACUAGAGCCGAAAACCUCCAAGCCUGUGGUACGCCAUCUCGGAGGAGCGAAGACCAGCUACGAAAGUGGCUUUACUCUACCUGACCCCACGAAAGCUAAGACACAAACUGGGAUUAGAUACCCCACUAUGCUUAGCCUCAAACAUCGAAUGAACUUAACCAUUUCAUUCCGCCCGGGAAUUACGGACACCAGUCUAAAAACCAAAGGACUUGGCGGUGCUUUAAACCCCCCUAGAGGAGCCUGUCCUAUAACCGAUGACCCCCGUUUAACCUCACCCUCCCUCGCUCGAUCCACCUAUAUACCGCCGCCGUCAGCUUACCCUGAGAAGGGAUAGAAGUAUGCAAAAUUGGCAAAGCCCCAAACGUCAGGUCGAGGUGUAGUGCAUGAGAGGGGAAGAGAUGGGCUACAUUUGCUAACCAGAAGCAAAUACGGAUGUAUUAUUGAAACCGAUACUGAAGGAGGAUUUAGUAGUAAGAGGGGAGCAGAGUGCCCCGCUGAAACCGGCCCUAAAGCGCGCACACACCGCCCGUCACCCUCACCAAGCAUUUAAACUACACUAAGUAAGACGCCCCGAAGCACAAGGAGAGGAAAGUCGUAACAUGGUAAGUGUACCGGAAGGUGCACUUGGAAAAUA